RNAcentral lists this small RNA (28 nucleotides) under Bombyx mori (domestic silkworm). Its description in RNAcentral is "ovarian small RNA-28223". The record is from RNAcentral. Lineage: Eukaryota; Metazoa; Arthropoda; Insecta; Lepidoptera; Bombycidae.
UCGAAGUACAGGUUUUAUGCCUUAAUUU